This 497-nucleotide ribosomal RNA is filed under the name uncultured bacterium. Its description in RNAcentral is "partial 16S ribosomal RNA". It matches the Rfam family "Bacterial small subunit ribosomal RNA", at positions 28 to 507 of the family's 1533-position model. The record is from RNAcentral.
GACGAACGCUGGCGGCGUGCCUAAUACAUGCAAGUUGAGCGAUGAAGAUUGGUGCUUGCACCAAUUUGAAGAGCAGCGAACGGGUGAGUAACGCGUGGGGAAUCUGCCUUUGAGCGGGGGACAACAUUUGGAAACGAAUGCUAAUACCGCAUAACAACUUUAAACAUAAGUUUUAAGUUUGAAAGAUGCAAUUGCAUCACUCAAAGAUGAUCCCGCGUUGUAUUAGCUAGUUGGUGAGGUAAAGGCUCACCAAGGCGAUGAUACAUAGCCGACCUGAGAGGGUGAUCGGCCACAUUGGGACUGAGACACGGCCCAAACUCCUACGGGAGGCAGCAGUAGGGAAUCUUCGGCAAUGGACGAAAGUCUGACCGAGCAACGCCGCGUGAGUGAAGAAGGGUUUCGGAUCGUAAAACUCUGUUGGUAGAGAAGAACGUUGGUGGGAGUGGAAAGCUCAUCAAGUGACGGUAACUACCCAGAAAGGGACGGCUAACUACGUG